Molecule: long non-coding RNA, 305 nt
Organism: Xenia sp. Carnegie-2017
Lineage: Eukaryota; Metazoa; Cnidaria; Anthozoa; Malacalcyonacea; Xeniidae
Exons: 2
Source: RefSeq, a predicted model, not a curated record
GACACUUUCAUAAAUUGUUAAUCAUCCAACUGUAAGAAAAUACAUCGUUUUAUUUUUUUGGAAAGAGUAGAACUUGAGCCAACGGAGGUUAGCGAAGCCGUGUGUAGAGGUUUGGAAAGAGUAGAACUAGAGCCAAUGGAGAGUAGCGAAGCCGUGUGUAGAGGUUUGGAAAGAGUAGAACUAGAGCCAAUGGAGAGUAGCGAAGCCGUGUGUAGAGGUUUGGAAAGAGUAGAACUAGAGCCAAUGGAGAGUAGCGAAGCCGUGUGUAGAGGUUUGGAAAGAGUAGAACUAGAGCCAAUGGAGAG